Vicia villosa (hairy vetch) is the source of this 1492-nucleotide long non-coding RNA. RefSeq lists it as uncharacterized. NCBI's taxonomy places the organism in Eukaryota, Viridiplantae, Streptophyta, Magnoliopsida, Fabales, Fabaceae. The record is from RefSeq and is a predicted model, not a curated record. The transcript has 2 exons.
UUUACCCACCUGACAUGUUUCACAUGUAUUGGUGAUUAAUUAUAUCAUUUGUCAUGUCAUCAAUAAAUUGUAAUUUUUAGUUUUUAUCCACAUCAUUGUUUAUAAUUGUAUAUUUAUCCCAAUUUCAAUUUUUUUCAUUUUUUCAUCUUGAGUCUAAAAAAAAACAUCUUUUAUUAUCUCUAAAAAGAAGAAUUAGAAAGAAGAAAGCCAUCUACAUAACUCCGAUCAACCACCGCUUUCUACGCCUCUGCUUUUUCCGUCGAAAUUGAAGAUACUCUCCAUUCUCUUCUGAAUCUCACGUUUCUACUCGUUUUCCACUCUUAAUUUUGUUCUAUCUCUACGAUGUCUAUUAACGCCCCCAACUGCCGCCGCUCAAAUGACAUUCAUCACUGACCUCAUUUCAGAUUUCACCAUCUUCUCUGUUUUGUUAAGUAUUCUCUUUCUUAAAUAAUUUUUCAAUUUCACAAUUUUUUUUUAUUUUCUUUUCUGUUUCAUAAUUUUAGGGUUUUUAUGCUUUUUUUGUGUUAGCUAAAAGUUGUGUUUAGCUUGUAAUUGUGUAAAAUUGUGUAUUAAUUAUAUGUUCUCUUCAUGGGUCUGUAGUAAUUUUGGGGUUUUAUGUGAUAUUACUGUGAAGGUUGGGUUUGGUUUAUCAUUCUUCAUGUGAGUUUCGAAUGUCAUCAUUGUAUUUGGCGUGGGAUGGUGAUUCUUUAUGAUUUCAGAAUUUUUAUCAGUUUGAGCUUGUUAAUUUUGAGAAAUGUAAUGAAUUUUGGUGAUAAAGAAGUGACUAAAUCCUUAAUAUUUUGUCUAAUGUUUUGAUGAAUUAAUAACUAUAAUUUCUGUAUGCCAUCAUUGUAGCCGAGAGUGCAUUCCUCUUGGGCUUCAAGAGCAGAGAAUAAUGUAUCCAAAAAUGGUCAUGUGGGUUAAAAGAAAGUGAUUUAAUUACAUCUUCUGCAAGAAAAAUUAAAUUUGUGGCCAUCGGUUCUAGUAUUGGUCAAGUUGUUUGCGAAUGAAAGUCUAUUUCUUGAAUGUCAAAUUCUUUGAGCAAGCGCUGUGAAACAGUUUUCUUGCCUGGUAGAAAGUUAUGCUGAAGCCAUCAUACUGGAUCAUGUGAAUUAGAAGUGUAUUGAUACUUUAUUCCAAAUACUAAAAUCUCCAUCUGAUAAAAAGAAAAUUGUUUCUGCUAUGGGAAUAAUCUGCUAUCUUCCAAAAAUUCAAUCACAUAGUGGCUUUUGGAUGCCGGGCCACUGCCAAUCAUUUGUAAAAAGUAAGCUGGUAGAGGUAAGCUGGUAGAGAAUUAUGUUGGUGCCUUGUAUCAUUUUCCAGUUCCAACAAUUUGGAAUGGCAAAAGAGAAGGACAAAGAUCUCCUAAAUAGGAAGUUGGUAGAGAAUUAUGUUGGUGCUUUAUGUCUUUUUAAGGUUCCAACAAACUUAGAAUGGCAAAAGAGAAAGACAAAUAUCUCCUAAAUAAUAAGCUGGUAGAGAAUUUUGUUGA